AGACCGAUAGCAAACAAGUACCGUGAGGGAAAAUUGAAAAGAACUUUGAAGAGAGAGUUAAAUAGUACGUGAAACUGUGUGGUGGUAAACGGAGGGGUUCUCGAAGUUUCUGCAGGGAACUCAGGCUUGGUCUUUGCUCGCCUUGUUGUCUUUGAUCAGCAAUGACUUGACAGCUUGUGCUGGCUCUGUCCCGGCUGCAUUUCCCCUGCAGUUUACCACAGGAACCAUUUGAUAGGGACCAAACGGCUUGGGUGAAGUUGUCGGUUCUGCUGGCAGCCCCUUGUUUGUGGCUCUCUGUCAGAUGGGUAUUUAAGUGGACUCGUAUAGCGAGCAAUGCUCUGUUGCGGUCCUCAUCUCUCUGUGGAGUAGGUCGGUGGCCCCUCCGACCCGUCUUGAAACACGGAC
This 405-nucleotide ribosomal RNA is filed under the name Subeucalanus pileatus. Its description in RNAcentral is "eukaryotic LSU rRNA". It matches the Rfam family "Eukaryotic large subunit ribosomal RNA", at positions 331 to 666 of the family's 3401-position model. Lineage: Eukaryota; Metazoa; Arthropoda; Copepoda; Calanoida; Eucalanidae. The record is from RNAcentral.